CAGUCGCCGCGGUAAUACGUAGGGUGCAAGCGUUAAUCGGAAUUACUGGGCGUAAAGCGUGCGCAGGCGGUUUGUUAAGACAGAUGUGAAAUCCCCGGGCUCAACCUGGGAACUGCAUUUGUGACUGGCAAGCUAGAGUAUGGCAGAGGGGGGUGGAAUUCCGCGUGUAGCAGUGAAAUGCGUAGAUAUGCGGAGGAACACCGAUGGCGAAGGCAGCCCCCUGGGCCAAUACUGACGCUCAUGCACGAAAGCGUGGGGAGCAAACAGGAUUAGAGACCCCAGUAGUCCCUGUCUCUUAUAC
This 301-nucleotide ribosomal RNA is filed under the name uncultured bacterium. RNAcentral's name for it is "partial 16S ribosomal RNA". It matches the Rfam family "Bacterial small subunit ribosomal RNA", at positions 509 to 807 of the family's 1533-position model. The record is from RNAcentral.